CCCACUGCAGAGAGGAACAGAAUUCACUGGAGUGGGCACCAAAGCUUUUCAAAAUACAGGGAAACUUUUAAAAUGCCAAAAGUCCAAGGUGUCGCAUCAGAUCUGCGUGUAGACAGAAGCAUCAUUAGUAAUGUAAGGCGCUAACACAAAUCUGAAGUACUUCCUCCUCUGCCUGGGUCCCUCUCAAGAAUAAUGGGAAAAGCAGACAAUGGACUUCAUUCGGCUUUGAACUCCUGCUUUGACCACCCCAACAAGGAAGAAUGGACAGCAAUUGUUUUUUGCAACUCCUGAAAAUUUCCCAGAUGCUUCUCCCAAACAAAAUAAAGUUGAGUUGUAGGCUGCUUGCUCCCACAAACUGAUUGGACUUGCCCUAUAUGAGUUCCUGCGCAGAGCUCCCUGCGCAAGGGGGGGGACUGAACGCAAGGGAGUCCUGGCAGGGUACCACUGACAGGGAACACACUGCUGCCACCGUUUCUCUCACAGAAGUGCACAUAAGAAGGAACUGCCUGGAAGUCAGUGGACCACAGAUGCAAAAAAUCAGUGCUAGUGAUCCUUCUGUUUGCUGAAUGAAAACUACCUCUGUGCGAAGAAGGGCCAGUACAGCCACGGACGACUGUUCUCCUGAUCCCGCUACCCCGGUGGAACAGGCUGCUGCUUGUACUUGCUUGUUAGUGCUCACUUGGUUGGAGGUCGCUAUCCCACCAACAUACUGGUAGGUGAACUCAUAUCGGUGCUCCCUAGCUCAGAUCAAAACAAACCAGGCUAGCUGAAGCCGUUUAAAGAGGUAGCCUAAGUUAGCCAGGCUGCUUUGUGACUGAAGUGAGUUAAGGAGCAUGAACAACUCUAUUUGCAGAUCUGUGCACUGACAGUCUCCAGCAGGAAGAGCAUGACAAGUUGUUGGAGUCAGUAACCUCUUUCAUUGGCCCAGCUGGGUAUGGGAAAGGAUGUCUAUCCACAGCCUGUUGCCACAAGUAUCUGCAUUUUAUUUACUGACAAAUACCUGAUGGUAGCAGAAGACCACAUCAUCUAAUUAAAAGGAACAAAUUGUGCAUUUCAGUAAGUAGGAUAAGGUUUAUUAGGUUAUGUUACUUUACAUCUUAAAGUGAAUAAAGACAGAGGCUCCUAUCUCA
This 1130-nucleotide long non-coding RNA is filed under the name Struthio camelus australis. Its description in RNAcentral is "lncRNA (ENSSCUG00000015243.1)". The record is from RNAcentral. Lineage: Eukaryota; Metazoa; Chordata; Aves; Struthioniformes; Struthionidae.